CAACAUAAGGACCUGACAAACUGAUGCUGUUGUUGAAGAUGUGGACAUAAAUAACUCAAGUCGCGUUGAAGGACGCUUUGAAGGACUGCGACUGCCUUUGCUUGUUGACAGUCUCCCUGGAUACAUCAUCAACCUAUGUAUAAAAUAAUCAAACUUUCGGUGAAUUUCCACAAUGGCACAGUUUCAAUGCCGUCUAUUAUGCAAGAAAGCAAGCUUCCUAACUCUUCCACAACGUGCCCUGGAGUAUGCUCACUGUAGCUGACUUGGAGCUGAAAAGAUUCCUUUAUUGUGCAUUGCCUUUUGCUGUAUAUACAUAAAGUAUUUGUCAGCCAUUUAUUUUAUUUUUUUGUUUUUUGUUUCUGCUUCUGGUAAAAAAGAAAAACUACCAAGAAUGUAUUUCCCUUCCCUUUGUGUAUAUUUUUUAGUGUUCACAGUG
Long non-coding RNA from Halichondria panicea, 436 nucleotides. RefSeq lists it as uncharacterized. NCBI's taxonomy places the organism in Eukaryota, Metazoa, Porifera, Demospongiae, Suberitida, Halichondriidae. The transcript has 3 exons. The record is from RefSeq and is a predicted model, not a curated record.